This 444-nucleotide ribosomal RNA is filed under the name uncultured bacterium. RNAcentral describes it as "bacterial SSU rRNA". It matches the Rfam family "Bacterial small subunit ribosomal RNA", at positions 26 to 507 of the family's 1533-position model. The record is from RNAcentral.
AGAGUGAACGUUGGCGGCGUGGAUUAGGCAUGCAAGUCGAGCGAUCGUAGCAAUACGGGAGCGGCAAACGGGGUAGGAAUACAUCGGAACGUACCUUUUGGUUGAGAAUAGCGUUGGGAAACUGACGGUAAUACUCAAUAAAGUCGAGAGACCAAAGGUUUACUGCCGGAAGAGCGGCCGAUGCGAUAUUAGGUAGUUGGUGGGGUAAUGGCCUACCAAGCCUGAGAUGUCUAGGGGGUGUGAGAGCAUGGCCCCCACCACUGGGACUGAGAUACUGCCCAGACACCUACGGGUGGCUGCAGUCGAGGAUCUUCGUCAAUGGGCGAAAGCCUGAACGAGCGACGCCGCGUGCGGGAUGAAGGCCCUUGGGUUGUAAACCGCUGUCAGGGGGGAUGAAACCGUAAGGUUGACAGAGCCCCAGAGGAAGCACGGGCUAAGUUCGUG